RNAcentral lists this ribosomal RNA (119 nucleotides) under Gadus morhua (Atlantic cod). Lineage: Eukaryota; Metazoa; Chordata; Actinopteri; Gadiformes; Gadidae. The record is from RNAcentral.
GCUUACGGCCAUACCACCUUAGGCACGCCCGAUCUCGUCUGAUCUUGGAAGCUAAGCAGGGUCGGGCCUGGUUAGUACUUGGAUGGGUGACCGCCUGGGAAUACCAGGUGCUGUAAGCA